GACUACAGCCAUGCCACCCUGAACCCGCCUGAUCUCGUCUGAUUUUGGAAGCUAAGCAGGGUCGGGUCUUGGUAAUUCUUGGAUGGGAGACCACCUGGGAAUACUGGGCGCUGUAGGAG
Molecule: ribosomal RNA, 119 nt
Organism: Cercocebus atys (sooty mangabey)
Lineage: Eukaryota; Metazoa; Chordata; Mammalia; Primates; Cercopithecidae
Source: Ensembl